AGGGCGACCCAGGACCACCUGGCAAGCCAGCUCCCAGUGUGGCCGGUGUUGGAGGAGAGAAGGGUGACAGAGGCUUCCCAGGACCAGAAGGACCUCCUGGCCCCAAGGGUGAUAUGGGAGAUAAAGGUGCCCGUGGUGCCCCUGGUCUGAGCAUCCCAGGACCAGCUGGCCCCAAAGGCGAGCAGGGUGAUCGGGGCAUCGCUGGCCUCACGGGCAGGAGUGGCCCAAAGGGUGACCCAGGGGAGCCAGGAGAGAAGGGCGAGCCAGGCCGAGCAGGCAUCCCAGGACAGACUGGGCUGCGUGGCAAGGAGG
This is a long non-coding RNA of Pogoniulus pusillus (Red-fronted tinkerbird), 312 nucleotides long. RefSeq lists it as uncharacterized. The record is from RefSeq and is a predicted model, not a curated record. NCBI's taxonomy places the organism in Eukaryota, Metazoa, Chordata, Aves, Piciformes, Lybiidae. The transcript is spliced from 6 exons.